RNAcentral lists this long non-coding RNA (240 nucleotides) under Papio anubis (olive baboon). Its description in RNAcentral is "lncRNA (ENSPANG00000044341.1)". Lineage: Eukaryota; Metazoa; Chordata; Mammalia; Primates; Cercopithecidae. The record is from RNAcentral.
GCAGAGCUUGCAGUGAGCCAAAACUGUGUCACUGCACUCCAGCCUGGGCAACACACUGAGCCUGUCCGGCAGAGCAGCGGAUGUACAGAUGAUUCAGUGGCUGGCAGGAAGCCCGCCCUGCCCGCCCGCCAGUGUCAGUGGUGUUGGCAUCAGCUCGGGCAGGUGUGCGGGCUCAGGAUGGGACGGCCGCGGUGAGGAGCCCUGGACUCUCAGGCUGCACAGCCUUGGGACAUCCCAGGG